GUAGCUCAAUUGGUAGAGCAACUGACUUGUAAUCAGUAGGUUGGGGGUUCAAGUCCUCUCGUCGGCA
Molecule: transfer RNA, 67 nt
Filed under: Melampsora pinitorqua Mpini7
Lineage: Eukaryota; Fungi; Basidiomycota; Pucciniomycetes; Pucciniales; Melampsoraceae
Description: tRNA-Thr (TGT) (tRNA-Thr-TGT-5-1)
Rfam family: tRNA
About the family: Transfer RNA (tRNA) molecules are approximately 80 nucleotides in length. Their secondary structure includes four short double-helical elements and three loops (D, anti-codon, and T loops).
Source: RNAcentral